UACGUAGGGUGCAAGCGUUAAUCGGAAUUACUGGGCGUAAAGCGUGCGCAGGCGGCUUUGCAAGACAGAUGUGAAAUCCCCGGGCUCAACCUGGGAACUGCAUCUGUGACUGCAUAGCUAGAGUACGGUAGAGGGGGAUGGAAUUCCGCGUGUAGCAGUGAAAUGCGUAGAUAUGCGGAGGAACACCGAUGGCGAAGGCAAUCCCCUGGACCUGUACUGACGCUCAUGCACGAAAGCGUGGGGAGCAAACAGG
RNAcentral lists this ribosomal RNA (253 nucleotides) under uncultured bacterium. Its description in RNAcentral is "partial 16S ribosomal RNA". It matches the Rfam family "Bacterial small subunit ribosomal RNA", at positions 524 to 776 of the family's 1533-position model. The record is from RNAcentral.